RNAcentral lists this ribosomal RNA (491 nucleotides) under uncultured bacterium. RNAcentral describes it as "partial 16S ribosomal RNA". It matches the Rfam family "Bacterial small subunit ribosomal RNA", at positions 29 to 507 of the family's 1533-position model. The record is from RNAcentral.
AGUGAACGCUGGCGGUAGGCCUAACACAUGCAAGUCGAACGGCAGCACAGUAAGAGCUUGCUCUUACGGGUGGCGAGUGGCGGACGGGUGAGGAAUACAUCGGAAUCUACUUUUUCGUGGGGGAUAACGUAGGGAAACUUACGCUAAUACCGCAUACGACCUACGGGUGAAAGCAGGGGAUCUUCGGACCUUGCGCGAUUGAAUGAGCCGAUGUCGGAUUAGCUAGUUGGCGGGGUAAAGGCCCACCAAGGCGACGAUCCGUAGCUGGUCUGAGAGGAUGAUCAGCCACACUGGAACUGAGACACGGUCCAGACUCCUACGGGAGGCAGCAGUGGGGAAUAUUGGACAAUGGGCGCAAGCCUGAUCCAGCCAUACCGCGUGGGUGAAGAAGGCCUUCGGGUUGUAAAGCCCUUUUGUUGGGAAAGAAAAGCAGCAGGUUAAUACCCCGCUGUUCCGACGGUACAAAAGAAUAAGCACCGGCUAACUUCGUG